AAGUCGUAACAAGGUUUCCGUAGGUAUGUAAUCGACACCCUUCUUACUUGACUUGAAUCUUUGCUAACUUAAUUCUUAGGUGAACCUGCGGAAGGAUCAUUACCGAGUUAGGGUCCUCUGGACUCGACCUCCUACCCUUUGUCUACCUUACCUUUUGUUGCUUCGGCGGAUCCGUCCCGCAAGGGACCGCCGGAGGGUUUACCCCCUCUGGUCCGCGUCCGCCGACAGCCCACAACCAAAACUCUUGUUUAAACGUGUCGUCUAAGUACAAAAACAAAUAAGUAAAAACUUUCAACAACGGAUCUCUUGGUUCUG
RNAcentral lists this unclassified non-coding RNA (315 nucleotides) under air metagenome. Its description in RNAcentral is "partial contains small subunit ribosomal RNA, internal transcribed spacer 1, and 5.8S ribosomal RNA". The record is from RNAcentral.